UACAGAGACUGCAAGCGUUAUUCGGAUUCACUGGGCGUAAAGGGUGCGCAGGCGGCCGUGUGUGUAAGGUGUGAAAUCCCGGGGCUCAACCCCGGAACUGCGCCUUAAACUACAUGGCUAGAGUAUUGGAGAGGGUAGUGGAAUUCACGGUGUAGCAGUGAAAUGCGUAGAUAUCGUGAGGAACACCAGAGGCGAAGGCGACUACCUGGACAAUUACUGACGCUCAGGCACGAAAGCGUGGGGAGCAAAA
Molecule: ribosomal RNA, 250 nt
Filed under: uncultured bacterium
Lineage: Bacteria
Description: partial 16S ribosomal RNA
Rfam family: Bacterial small subunit ribosomal RNA
Source: RNAcentral